Molecule: transfer RNA, 40 nt
Filed under: Fragilariopsis kerguelensis
Lineage: Eukaryota; Bacillariophyta; Bacillariophyceae; Bacillariales; Bacillariaceae
Description: partial tRNA
Source: RNAcentral
CGUGGCGUAGUGGUUGAGGCGAUGGAUUUGAAAUCCAAUG